RNAcentral lists this small nuclear RNA (340 nucleotides) under Chinchilla lanigera (long-tailed chinchilla). Its description in RNAcentral is "7SK RNA (ENSCLAG00000021468.1)". It matches the Rfam family "7SK RNA", at positions 1 to 274 of the family's 331-position model. Rfam says of the family: 7SK was discovered as an abundant small nuclear RNA in the mid-70s but a possible function has only recently been suggested. Two independent studies have found that 7SK RNA binds the CDK9/cyclin T complex (known as elongation factor P-TEFb). P-TEFb activates transcription by phosphorylating the C-terminal domain of RNA polymerase II. The record is from Rfam by way of RNAcentral. Lineage: Eukaryota; Metazoa; Chordata; Mammalia; Rodentia; Chinchillidae.
GGAUGUGAGGGCCAUAUGGCUGUGACAUCUGUCACCCCACUAAUCACCAGGGUUGAUUCCACUGAUCUGGCUAGCUAGGCAGCUGUCCCCUUCCUCCCUCGCACUGCAUGUCCAUCCCUCCCAAAGCUGCAUGCUCAGUCAAAGAGGACGACCACCCGAAAGAGGAGGACACUCCCAGGUCAAGGGUAAAGGAGUAGCUGAACCCUCUGCUGGAACCUCCAAAGAAGCUCUCAAUAUCUUUAUAUCUUAUUAAAAUUUUUUAACAGUGAUUUUAUGAGUGGCUUCUUUUUGUUUUUAAAAAUUUACCUUUUUAAACUUUUUUGAGGUGUUUGGUAUAGCU